GGGUCAGUAGGUUGGUCGUGCCACCGGUACGUACUGGUCUCACUGAUUCCUCAUUCCUGAAGAACCGUAAUGCCAUUAAUUUGGUGUUGCGGGGAAACAGGACUGUUACUUUGAAAAAAUUAGAGUGUUUAAAGCAAGCUAACGCUUGAAUACAUUAGCAUGGAAUAAUGAAAUAGGACGAUCGAUCCCAUUUUGUUGGUUUCUAUGAUUGACGUA
RNAcentral lists this ribosomal RNA (216 nucleotides) under Glomeromycotina sp. Its description in RNAcentral is "partial small subunit ribosomal RNA". The stretch from base 40 to 216 matches the Rfam family "Eukaryotic small subunit ribosomal RNA", at positions 686 to 864 of the family's 1831-position model. The record is from RNAcentral. Lineage: Eukaryota; Fungi; Glomeromycota.